ACACCUCAACUCUCAUGGCUUGCCAUGAUGAGCUUGGACUUUGGGGGUCUUGCUGGCCUGCGGUCGGCUCCUCUCAAAUGAAUCAGCUUGCCAGUGUUUGGUGGCAUCACAGGUGUGAUAACUAUCUGCGCUUGUGGUGUUUCCAUCAGAUAACCUCUAGUGAUAGAGGUUCGCUGGAGCUCAUAAAUGUCUCUCCUAAGUGAGGACAGGUCUUUUAAU
RNAcentral lists this unclassified non-coding RNA (219 nucleotides) under uncultured Tomentella. RNAcentral's name for it is "sequence contains ITS2". The record is from RNAcentral. Lineage: Eukaryota; Fungi; Basidiomycota; Agaricomycetes; Thelephorales; Thelephoraceae.